UACGUAGGGGGCUAGCGUUGUCCGGAUUUAUUGGGCGUAAAGAGCGCGUAGGCGGCCAGGUAAGUCCGACGUGAAAUCUGGAGGCUCAACCUCCAGCGGUCGUUGGAAACUACUUGGCUAGAGUCCGGAAGAGGAGAGUGGAAUUCCUGGUGUAGCGGUGAAAUGCGCAGAUAUCAGGAAGAACACCGAUGGCGAAAGCAGCUCUCUGGGACGGUACUGACGCUGAGGCGCGAAAGCGUGGGGAGCGAACAGGAUUAGAAACCCCCGUAGUCC
Molecule: ribosomal RNA, 273 nt
Filed under: uncultured bacterium
Lineage: Bacteria
Description: partial 16S ribosomal RNA
Rfam family: Bacterial small subunit ribosomal RNA
Source: RNAcentral